This 348-nucleotide ribosomal RNA is filed under the name uncultured bacterium. RNAcentral's name for it is "bacterial SSU rRNA". It matches the Rfam family "Bacterial small subunit ribosomal RNA", at positions 164 to 507 of the family's 1533-position model. The record is from RNAcentral.
UAAUACCGCAUAUUCUGUGCGCAGGAAAGCAGGGGAUCGCAAGACCUUGCGCUGAUUGAGCGGCCGAUAUCAGAUUAGCUAGUUGGUGAGGUAAAGGCUCACCAAGGCGACGAUCUGUAGCGGGUCUGAGAGGAUGAUCCGCCACACUGGAACUGAGACACGGUCCAGACUCCUACGGGAGGCAGCAGUGGGGAAUUUUGGACAAUGGGCGCAAGCCUGAUCCAGCCAUGCCGCGUGAGUGAAGAAGGCCUUCGGGUUGUAAAGCUCUUUCGGCCGGGAAGAAAUCGUAUGGGUUAAUACCCUGUGCGGAUGACGGUACCGGCAUAAGAAGCACCGGCUAACUACGUG